AUUGAACGCUGGCGGCAGGCCUAACACAUGCAAGUCGAGCGGUAGCACAGAGAGCUUGCUCUCGGGUGACGAGCGGCGGACGGGUGAGUAAUGUCUGGGAAACUGCCUGAUGGAGGGGGAUAACUACUGGAAACGGUAGCUAAUACCGCAUAACGUCGCAAGACCAAAGUGGGGGACCUUCGGGCCUCAUGCCAUCAGAUGUGCCCAGAUGGGAUUAGCUAGUAGGUGGGGUAAUGGCUCACCUAGGCGACGAUCCCUAGCUGGUCUGAGAGGAUGACCAGCCACACUGGAACUGAGACACGGUCCAGACUCCUACGGGAGGCAGCAGUGGGGAAUAUUGCACAAUGGGCGCAAGCCUGAUGCAGCCAUGCCGCGUGUGUGAAGAAGGCCUUCGGGUUGUAAAGCACUUUCAGCGGGGAGGAAGGCGAUAAGGUUAAUAACCUCAUCGAUUGACGUUACCCGCAGAAGAAGCACCGGCUAACUCCGUGCCAGCAGCCGCGGUAAUACGGAGGGUGCAAGCGUUAAUCGGAAUUACUGGGCGUAAAGCGCACGCAGGCGGUCUGUCAAGUCGGAUGUGAAAUCCCCGGGCUCAACCUGGGAACUGCGUUCGAAACUGGCAGGCUAGAGUCUUGUAGAGGGGGGUAGAAUUCCAGGUGUAGCGGUGAAAUGCGUAGAGAUCUGGAGGAAUACCGGUGGCGAAGGCGGCCCCCUGGACAAAGACUGACGCUCAGGUGCGAAAGCGUGGGGAGCAAACAGGAUUAGAUACCCUGGUAGUCCACGCCGUAAACGAUGUCGAUUUGGAGGUUGUGCCCUUGAGGCGUGGCUUCCGGAGCUAACGCGUUAAAUCGACCGCCUGGGGAGUACGGCCGCAAGGUUAAAACUCAAAUGAAUUGACGGGGCCCGCACAAGCGGUGGAGCAUGUGGUUUAAUUCGAUGCAACGCGAAGAACCUUACCUGGUCUUGACAUCCACAGAACUUUCCAGAGAUGGAUUGGUGCCUUCGGGAACUGUGAGACAGGUGCUGCAUGGCUGUCGUCAGCUCGUGUUGUGAAAUGUUGGGUUAAGUCCCGCAACGAGCGCAACCCUUAUCCUUUGUUGCCAGCGGUCCGGCCGGGAACUCAAAGGAGACUGCCAGUGAUAAACUGGAGGAAGGUGGGGAUGACGUCAAGUCAUCAUGGCCCUUACGACCAGGGCUACACACGUGCUACAAUGGCAUAUACAAAGAGAAGCGACCUCGCGAGAGCAAGCGGACCUCAUAAAGUAUGUCGUAGUCCGGAUUGGAGUCUGCAACUCGACUCCAUGAAGUCGGAAUCGCUAGUAAUCGUAGAUCAGAAUGCUACGGUGAAUACGUUCCCGGGCCU
Molecule: ribosomal RNA, 1360 nt
Filed under: uncultured bacterium
Lineage: Bacteria
Description: bacterial SSU rRNA
Rfam family: Bacterial small subunit ribosomal RNA
Source: RNAcentral